GACUGGGGUAGUACACCUGCCAAAGCUUAACACAGGUGUCCUAAGGCAAGCUCAGGGAGGGCAGAAACCUCCCAUGGAGCAAAAGGGCAAAAGCUCACUUGAUCUUGAUGUCAGGACGAAUGAAAGAUCUCCCUCAGUAGAGG
RNAcentral lists this non-coding RNA (143 nucleotides) under Merops nubicus (carmine bee-eater). Its description in RNAcentral is "Eukaryotic large subunit ribosomal RNA". It matches the Rfam family "Eukaryotic large subunit ribosomal RNA", at positions 2623 to 2763 of the family's 3401-position model. The record is from Rfam by way of RNAcentral. Lineage: Eukaryota; Metazoa; Chordata; Aves; Coraciiformes; Meropidae.